CUUGUGCAUCUGAUACGUGGAACACUGGGAAUAGUUCCGGUUGCCACCUGAAGCCUAGAGUGCUCUGGGAGGCCAGCCUGCGGGGCACACCUCAGGGUCAUCAUGUAUCUUGUUCCUGUUCUAGCGGCAGGUGGGCUGUGUAAGUCUCCACAGAGCUCUUCAGUGUCUGGGUCCCUUGGAGUUUGUGCUCCAUGAUGGCUGAUGCCUUCAGUGAAUGUUGCUCAUGCUGGGCACUUGCUGGGAGGGACUGUACCAGGAGCACGCUCACAUCCGCCCUCUCCAGAGGCCUCCAAUAAACAGGAGAGAGGCCAGCACUGGACAGCUAGGUCAGUGGAACCCUCUGAGGAAGCUGAGAUGGAAUUCACACAGCUGACAACUCAGGGGCACCUAUUCAGUGCCUGGGCUGGGCGCCACCCCUCUGUUAGCUCCUAAGCACUUGUGUUACCCAGAACACCUCUGUCCACUGUCAGCCCACCCCUCUUGUGGCUCCAAGUGCGUCUCUAAUGAUGAACCUCUUCUGCUGGUCUCUGCUUUCAAUUGGUAAGCUUAGUCCCUUCUCAUUUAAAGCAAUUUCUGAUAAAGAAGGGCUUCUUUUCCCACUUUCCUAUUAAUGUGUCUUAAAUCUCUUUUGUUCCUCAGUUGCACCAAUGCUGCCUUUUUUAGGAGGGGGUUACCGGAGAUUAGACCCAGUGGCACUUAACCACUAGCCACAUCCCCAGCCCUUUUUAUUCUUAAUUUUAAACCAGGGUCUCACUAAGGUGUUUACAGCCUAGCUAAGUUGCUGAGGCUGGGUUUGAACUUAUGAUCCUUGAGCCUUAGCUUCCCAAGCACUAGAGUUACAGGCAUGCACCACUUUGACCAUAAUUCUAUUUUUAAAUUACUGUUUUAAGUUCCUUGUUUACUUUCUACCAUAUUUAGUUAUUUCCUUUGUGGUUAUCAUGGGGAUUACAAUUAGCAUCCCACAUUUAUCACAAUCUAGUUUAUCUUACAUUGAUUUAGCUUCAAAAGCACCCGGAACCAGUCUUAUAGCUCUGUAUUCAAGCUGUAUGUUGUUCUUGUCAUAAACCAGCUCUUUAUACACUAUGGUCCAAUUAACAUAGAUUCAUAAUUAUUUUAUUCAUUAUCUCUUAAAGCAUCUGAGAAACAAAAAGAGGAGAUAUUAACCAAAAAUGCAGUAAUACUAUAUUUUCUAUUAUAUUUGCUAUGCAAUUGUCUUUACUAUUUAUCUGCUAUAUAUAUUAUAUUUGCUAUGUAAUUGUCUUUACUUGAGUUCAUGAUUUUUUGUGUGGCAUCGAGUUACCAUUUAGGGUCUUCACUCAUUUCUUGUAGGAAAGGUCUUAGUGACAACCGUCUUCAGCUUUUGCUUAUCUGGGAAUCUUACCUUUGGCUUGAUUUUUGAAGGACAGUUUUGGCGUAUCACCUCAGGCCCCCAGGCUUCUGAUGAGAGGUCAGCUGAUGAUUUUGUUGCAAGUCCCUUGUAUGUGACAAGUCAUUUCCCUCUUGGUGCUUCCAGGAUUCUCCCUCCUUUUUUUAAUAUUUAUUUUUUUGUGGUUGUAGUUGGACACAAUACCUUUAUUUUAUUUGUUUUUAUGUGGUGCUGAGGAUGGAACCCGGGGCCUUGCACGUGCUAGGGGAGCCUCUGCCACUGAGCCCCAGCCCCAACCCCGGGGCCUUGCACGUGCUAGGGGAGCCUCUGCCACUGAGCCCCAGCCCCAGCCCCUCUCUCUCUCUCUCUU
This 1736-nucleotide long non-coding RNA is filed under the name Marmota monax (woodchuck). Lineage: Eukaryota; Metazoa; Chordata; Mammalia; Rodentia; Sciuridae. The record is from RNAcentral.